This 516-nucleotide ribosomal RNA is filed under the name Cletus sp. WCW-2003. RNAcentral describes it as "partial 16S ribosomal RNA". The stretch from base 389 to 516 matches the Rfam family "Bacterial large subunit ribosomal RNA", at positions 2473 to 2600 of the family's 2925-position model. Lineage: Eukaryota; Metazoa; Arthropoda; Insecta; Hemiptera; Coreidae. The record is from RNAcentral.
GUCUUAUAGAUGUUAAUUUUAAGUCUAAUCUGCUCAAUGAUUUAUUAAAUAGCCGCAGUAUACUGACUGUGCAAAGGUAGCAUAAUCAUUUGUCUUUUAAUUGAGGGCUUGUAUGAAUGGUUGGACGAGAAAUAAACUUUCUUUACUUAAUUUUUAUGAAUUUAAUAUUUUGGUUAAAAGGCUAAGAUAUUUUUGUGGGACGAGAAGACCCUAUAGAAUUUUAUUAUUUAGUUUAUUUUCCUGAAUUAAUUUCUUAAUUUAGUUUAUUAAUUAAAUAAUUUGGUUGGGGUGAUUGUGAAAUUUUAUUAACUUUUAUUUGAAAUUAUUCAUUAAUUAUUGUUUUAAUAUUGAUCCUUUUUUAGGGAAUAAAAGAUUAAAUUACCUUAGGGAUAACAGCGUAAUUCUUUUGGAGAGUUCUUAUUAAUGAAGGAGUUUGCGACCUCGAUGUUGGAUUAAAGUUAAUUUUUGGUGUAGAAGCUAAAUAUAUUAGGUCUGUUCGACCUUUAAAUCUUUACA